This 253-nucleotide ribosomal RNA is filed under the name uncultured bacterium. RNAcentral's name for it is "partial 16S ribosomal RNA". It matches the Rfam family "Bacterial small subunit ribosomal RNA", at positions 524 to 776 of the family's 1533-position model. The record is from RNAcentral.
UACGUAGGGGGCAAGCGUUAUCCGGAUUUACUGGGUGUAAAGGGAGCGCAGGCGGCAUGAUAAGUCUGAUGUGAAAACCCAAGGCUCAACCAUGGGACUGCAUUGGAAACUGUCGUGCUGGAGUGUCGGAGAGGUAAGCGGAAUUCCUAGUGUAGCGGUGAAAUGCGUAGAUAUUAGGAGGAACACCAGUGGCGAAGGCGGCUUACUGGACUGUAACUGACGCUGAGUCACGAAAGCGUGGGUAGCAAACAGG